Long non-coding RNA from Cygnus olor (mute swan), 1243 nucleotides. RefSeq lists it as uncharacterized. NCBI's taxonomy places the organism in Eukaryota, Metazoa, Chordata, Aves, Anseriformes, Anatidae. The transcript is spliced from 4 exons. The record is from RefSeq and is a predicted model, not a curated record.
GGGAUGAGGGGGGAGCAAGGAGCUGGUGCUGGGUCCCUGACGGCCCUGCAUGAAGGGAGCGGACACGAGGGGAACGGUCGGGUAGUUGCGUGCAUCUCCAGCAAAAACAGAGAUAAAUACAGGAUCCCAUCUCUUUGCUCUGCUAAGCUCCCCCCAAGCCCACCAGCAGCAGGAGAAGCAGAAUCAGUGCACCAUGCAAGCCCCCAAAAGGAUCAGAGCUUGUGACUGCAGAUUCUCAGCACACAGGGAAGGAAGCGAGGGCUCUCCUGCUGAAUGGUCACAACCAGAACAAGAUAUCCAAGUGGACUAGGGAGGGCUGACUAACCACGCUCACACGUACAGCCAGGAUUUGCCUCCUGUUCUGUGUCAUGGAAGAAGACUGCCUUUUUCACCUCAGGUACCCAUUUCUUUUAUUCUCUGUUAGAUAAAAAGGUGCACUAAAUACUGCGAUACCACACCUCUGAUCAAUACACUUCGUGCAUCUGCUCCUUUAUUUUAUACCAGAGCAAUCUUUUCUAUUGGUCACACACCUGGUCUUAAUGCAGUUACAACUUGGCUAUGCUACAGUACUAAAAAUCCAAAAUUAUCCUGCAGAUUUUCAGACUGCUCAUCUUUCAUAAGGGUGGCAAAGAGGCUCGUGACACAGAAUACAUAUUCAAACAGAAGGGAUUUUUUUCUGUUUCUAUGUGGUAGCAUUAUGUUCAUGCUCUCUGCUUCCAAGCCAAUCCUUUGGAGAGAAAGCAGAACUGAUUACAGACCCAGUGAGUCAAAAAUCAGGGUCUGAUCAGUCAAACAUCAGGGAGUUGUAGUCAUUUAGACAGCAGAAGUACCUGGUAUUAUGCCGAGCACUCCUUAGCACCAUCUCUCUGAGACUUGCUGUCAUCCUUCUCCCAGGGUAUCUACAGGAGCUGAAUCCUAACCCCAUCAAGGAUAUUGAUCCAGCUAGCGCCAGGAACAAACUCUUCUCCACAAAGUGCACCAUCAGGGAUAAAUUCCUCUCUAUAUUAGGAAAAGCCUGAGUUGCAUAUAUGGAGGCAACGCCUUUCUUAUAGCCAGGUUGUCUGGAUGAAAAGCUGCACACGGGAUAAGCUACUUCAGUAUGCUUCCUCCUACGACAAUUGUAGUUUUGCUGUCAGUUUUGUAAAUCCUCCAUAACCACCAGGUUGUUACCAGGGGUGGUGAUAGCGGGGAGGACACUGCAUAUUGGCAGAAAAGAAUGAGCUCUCAAGACAAUAAAUGAAGU